This 442-nucleotide ribosomal RNA is filed under the name uncultured bacterium. RNAcentral describes it as "bacterial SSU rRNA". It matches the Rfam family "Bacterial small subunit ribosomal RNA", at positions 64 to 524 of the family's 1533-position model. The record is from RNAcentral.
GAUCGGAGACCUUAGCANAUUGUCUAAGCGGCGGACGGGUGAGUAACGCGUGGGUAACCUGCCUUAAACAGGUGGAUAACACAGGGAAACUUGUGCUAAUACCGCAUAAUAUACUUGGGUGGCAUCACCUGGGUAUCAAAGGAGCAAUCCGGUAUAAGAUGGACCCGCGUCCGAUUAGCUAGUUGGUGGUGUAACGGACCACCAAUGCUUCGAUCGGUAUCCGAACUGAGAUGUUGAUCGGUCACAUUGGGACUGAGACACGGCCCAGACUCCUACGGGAGGCAUCAGUGGGGAAUAUUGCGCAAUGGGGGAAACCCUGACGCAUCAACGCCGCGUGAAUGAUGAAUGUCUUCGGAUUGUAAACUUCUUUGAUGAUGGACGAAUAAAUGACGGUACCUCAAAAACAAGCCACGGCUAACUACGUGCCAUCAGCCGCGGUAAU